This 253-nucleotide ribosomal RNA is filed under the name uncultured bacterium. Its description in RNAcentral is "partial 16S ribosomal RNA". It matches the Rfam family "Bacterial small subunit ribosomal RNA", at positions 524 to 776 of the family's 1533-position model. The record is from RNAcentral.
UACGUAGGGUGCGAGCGUUAAUCGGAAUUACUGGGCGUAAAGUGUGCGCAGGCGGCCGAGCAAGUCGAGUGUGAAAGCCCCGAGCUUAACUUGGGAAUUGCGCUCGAAACUACUUGGCUGGAGUGUGGCAGAGGAAGGUGGAAUUCCACGUGUAGCGGUGAAAUGCGUAGAGAUGUGGAGGAACACCGAUGGCGAAGGCAGCCUUCUGGGCCAACACUGACGCUCAUGCACGAAAGCGUGGGGAGCAAACAGG